GAAGAUGGGGUGCGGCGAAAUUGGAGGGGUUAACCCGCCCACAAUGGGAAUGGAACACAGGCCCAAAUUCCUAACGGAGAACAGCCAGUUAGAUAUAUCGUCCAUGUGGGAACCCUGAACCGGCAAUGCGGCGGGAGGAUGAGGUUCUCUUGGAUUUUAAACCUCUGUUUAUUGGGAGUAUUGUCAGACUAGAAAAUGGGUCUGAUGUGACUGUACCAUACAGAAGGCUCGGGCUACUACGUGCCAGCAGCGCGGUAAUACGUAGGGAGCGAGCGUAAUCCGGAUUUAUUGGGCGUAAAGGGUGCGUAGGCGGCUUGUUAAGUAUGAAAUCAAAUCCCGGGGCUUAACUUCGGUUCGUUUCAUAAACUGGCUUGCUUGAGUAUGGAAGAGGUAAACGGAAUUUCUAGUGUAGCGGUGGAAUGCGUAGAUAUUAGAAGGAACACCAGUGGCGAAGGCGGUUUACUGGGCCAUUACUGACGCUGAGGCACGAAAGCGUGGGGAGCAAAUAGGAUUAGAUACCCUAGUAGUCCACGCUGUAAACGAUGAGUACUAAGUGUCGGGAUUUCUCGGUGCUGAAGUUAACAUAUUAAGUACUCCGCCUGAGUAGUACGGUCGCAAGGCUGAAACUCAAAGGAAUUGACGGGCACCCGCACAAGCGGUGGAGCAUGCUGUUUAAUUCGAUGCAACGCGAAGAACCUUACCAGGGCUUGACAUAUACAUGACGUACUAAGAGAUUAGUAUUCCCUUCGGGGCAUGUAAACAGGUGGUGCAUGGUUGUCGUCAGCUCGGUGUCGUGAGAUGUUGGGUUAAGUCCCGCAACGAGCGCAACCCUUAUUCGUAGUAGCCAGCGGAUAAAGCCGGGCACUCUAGGGAGACUGCCGGGGAUAACCCGGAGGAAGGUGGGGAUGACGUCAAAUCAUCAUGCCCCUUAUGAUUUGGGAUACACACGUGCUACAAUGGCGUAAACAAAGGGAAGCGAACCUGCGAGGGGGAGCGAAACCCAAAAAUAACGUCCCAGUUCGGACUGCAGUCUGCAACCCGACUGCACGAAGCUGGAAUCGUCUAGUAAUCGCGGAUCAGAAUGCCGCGGUGAAUACGUUCCCGGGUCUUGUACACACCGCCCGUCACACCAUGGGAGUCGGAAAUGCCCGAAGUCUGUGACCUAACCGAAAGGGGGGAGCAGCCGAAGGCAGGUCGGAUGACUGGGGUGAAGUCGUAACAAGGUAG
RNAcentral lists this ribosomal RNA (1227 nucleotides) under uncultured bacterium. RNAcentral's name for it is "partial 16S ribosomal RNA". It matches the Rfam family "Bacterial small subunit ribosomal RNA", at positions 275 to 1499 of the family's 1533-position model. The record is from RNAcentral.